CGAACCGUGCAAACGUUGUUCGGAAUCACUGGGCUUAAAGGGCGCGUAGGCGGGUUCCCAAGUCGGUGGUGAAAUCUUUCGGCCCACCGGAAAAGUGCCGCCGAUACUGGGAGUCUUGAGGGAGGUAGGGGUCGAGGGAACUGGUGGUGGAGCGGUGAAAUGCGUAGAUAUCACUAGGAACGCCGGUGGCGAAAGCGCUCGACUGGACCUCUUCUGACGCUGAGGCGCGAAAGCCAGGGGAGCAAACGGGAUUAGAUACCCCGGUAGUCCUGGCCCUAAACGAUGGGUACCAGACUGUGGACUUGACAUGGGUUCACAGUCGAGGCAAAAGUGUUAAGUACCCCGCCUGGGGAGUAUGGUCGCAAGGCUG
RNAcentral lists this ribosomal RNA (370 nucleotides) under uncultured organism. RNAcentral describes it as "bacterial SSU rRNA". It matches the Rfam family "Bacterial small subunit ribosomal RNA", at positions 526 to 896 of the family's 1533-position model. The record is from RNAcentral.